Molecule: non-coding RNA, 1225 nt
Organism: Punica granatum (pomegranate)
Lineage: Eukaryota; Viridiplantae; Streptophyta; Magnoliopsida; Myrtales; Lythraceae
Source: RefSeq, a predicted model, not a curated record
AUCCCAGACGAUGAUCCUCUGUCUGUCUUGCUGGUGUUUCGGGGCCUAUAGCUUGAUAUGUCUACUGAUAACUCAACUAGAACGCGUCAAAGUCCAUAUAUAGCAAUUCUGCCCCUGCCAUUUCCACCUGUUGAAUAAAAUAGUAAGGAAAAGGAAAUAAAUAAAUUCGCCCUCUCUCCCCGCUUCCUCCUCCCGCCUUCUGCCCCAACCAGUCUCCUCGCCUCGCGUCUGCCCACACCCCUCGAUACCGACCGCGCCACCCGCACCCCUUCCCUCGCCACCGUCCUGCCACUCUGCUCGGCUCGACACCCGCGCCAGCACCUCAAUGCCGAUGAUCUAGGUUGGUUGCCUUACCUUACCCAACCGCUGCUCACCCUCCGACCCUUCGUGGCUUUCCGCCUAUUAGCCAUCGCGUCUGUUCGCGUGUUGUUUGUAGAUUGUGUCUUCUAUGUUGACCCGCUAAUAUGGAUUCUCCAUCCUCCUCCGCUCCCUCUCGCCUAUUACUGGUUUAGUUCUUCUCCAUUUUGGUUUCCAUCUAUCGUCUCCAAACUGCUCGACGAAAUGCCUGAUCCAUCCUUCCCGUGCUCCACAUCACUAGACGGGUGAAUUUCGCAUUGAACAGUUCAGAAUUUACACUACUAUGGGUGAGCGUUGAUCUAAAGAUGGAGUUUCUUGCCGAAAUUUAUAUGAAUCAACCUAUUCAGGUUUACUGUACAUUCGCAGGGAAGUUGACUGCGAGUUUUCCAAUGGGAGAUUAGCUAUAAGGUUAGCCUAUCAAGCUCUUUUAACUUUGAAGUGGGCUCAAAUCAGUUGUUAUAAUAUAUUGAAGAUCGGGAGCUCCGCGGGGGCAGGUUGGGCCGAGGUCGUGUGUAACAUCACGAUAAUUGUUCAACUCCAAGCAAUGCAGGCCGAAGGUAUUGGGAAAGGCCUACUGUUAGAUGCAUCUGAAGGCAUUUUUGCUUUGAGAAGAUCAAUGCACAAACCACUGGGAAGGUGCAUUUGGAGUCAGUCGUUGAUAGGGAUUAAGUUCAAAUCCUUCUUGUGUGCAGCCGUUAACCUCGAUUUCAAAGGAUGUAGACUCUUCUUUCAUUUAUGGAUAUUAUGCACCAUGAUUUUUAUUCAUGCAAGAUAAAAUUAAUCCAUGAUUGACAAGGUGAUUGUGGUUGGUGGCAGCUUGUAUUGCCAAUUUCACCACUAUUAAAUUGAAGGGACAAGAUUUAUUCAA